Molecule: ribosomal RNA, 238 nt
Filed under: uncultured bacterium
Lineage: Bacteria
Description: partial 16S ribosomal RNA
Rfam family: Bacterial small subunit ribosomal RNA
Source: RNAcentral
AGAGCAAAUACUCGAAAAAACAAUCUCAGUUCAGACUGCAGGCUGCAACUCGCCUGCACGAAGUCGGAAUUGCUAGUAAUCGUAGGUCAGCAUACUACGGUGAAUACGUUCCCGGGCCUUGUACACACCGCCCGUCACACCAUGGGAGUCGGAAAUGCCCGAAGUCUGUGACCCAACCGGAAGGAGGGAGCAGCCGAAGGCAGGUCGGAUGACUGGGGUGAAGUCGUAACAAGGUAUC